RNAcentral lists this long non-coding RNA (6891 nucleotides) under Canis lupus familiaris (dog). Its description in RNAcentral is "lncRNA (ENSCAFG00000054933.1)". Lineage: Eukaryota; Metazoa; Chordata; Mammalia; Carnivora; Canidae. The record is from RNAcentral.
GUCCUUCAGGAUCCGCUUGGGCCCUAAUAAUAUUUCCCGCAAGAAGGGGACAACUAGAGAGUAACAGUUCUAUACCCUGUCCCCACGAGCAGCAAAUCCUGCAACACAUUACUCCGAUCUCCUCCCACACUUCUUAGCCAUCCUUUCAGAAACAAAUUCACAUAACGACAAUGAUCCCGUUGUGGAAAAGUUUGCGAACCCCAGAUCUGGAUGGAAUUUUUAAUCACAACUAAUUUUUUGUUCAAAGAUCCUUGGAAAGAGAUAUUUCAAAAUUUUCUUCCGUAGUGAUCUCACUCUAGGUUCUGGAACUGCCCUAAUUUACAAGAAUACAUGUUAUGAUAUAUAGCUAGGCCUAGUCGCUGGUACUUUUUCCCUGUAAAUACUGUGAAAUAAGGCUUCAUACAUGUUGGUGGUGUAGAGAGAAUCAAUGAAAAACAGACCUCAUCCAAUAAAGCAUUUUUUAUUUCAGAAGCGUAAUUACAGCCUUAGAGAGCACUCUGCUGGAAUUCAUUCUCAGGAAAGGUUUUGGAAGGGAAAGACUGGGAUGCACAACAGCAAAGCCAUCCUUGUGUAUGAGGAAGUGGAGACAAUGGUAAAGAACUGAUAAUAAACUCCCAUGCAAGGGUGGCUGGCAAAGGAAAGUGAAACCAAGUGUGGGGCUCAUUCCUAAUUAUGCAAAAAGCCUCCCAAACUGUCCCUCUCUGCUUUGUCUUGAGACAUUAUAAGAAGUCAAGCAAAAGGACAAGAUUAGAGUGACAGCAGAUGCCUGGUAGCAAAACCUGGAGGCCCCAGGAAAUGCCAUUCCCAGGUGGAUUUGCAAACGCUCUUCAUCCCCUAAAGCUGCUCCUUGCAAAGCUCAUGCUCCAUUUAUUCCAUGUUUGUUCCAAAAAUGCAUUUGUCCAUAGCAGCUCUCGCCAGCCCCUAGGUGAAUGCUUUCUACCUCGCUGUGCCUAGCCCUUCACUCCCAUCAUUUCCUUCGGGGUAUUUGCCAUAAUGCCAGUUUUACUCACCCUUGGUUACUCUCACUUUCCCUGUCUUCUCUCUAAACUCAUUUUUCACCCUACGGACGAGGAACAGUACCGGCUUACGUACAAGUGUCUGCCAAGAACGUCACACACAGUACGCACUCGAUUAUUACUUGUUGACUUAAUGAAUUUGCCAUCCUCAGCUUUGGGACAACAAUUUUUCAAAGGCUGACUAGAAGACCUAGGCCGUCACUUAGGAUCGGAUUUGGGUGCAGGCAACACAGACUCUCUACAGUGGCAGCUAAUCUAAAGGAGACCGUUGUUUUGUUGUGGUUUUCCAUAGAACAAAGUGUUCAGCAGUGAGUAGCUUAAGAGAAGUGUGACCACUGCACACUACCACUGUCCUGGGAGCCUUUGAUUCUCGGCUGUUUUGUUGUUGUUGUUGUUGUUUUUCAGCCAUAGUAUCCUCCAAGAGAGGCUGGAAAAUGUACUUUUGGUUUGCUUAUUUGAUUAAGCCGGAAAUAUGACAGAAAUAUCAGGUUUCUGCUAAUAAGAUGUCUGGGCAGAGAAGUCACAGUCUCAUGGACUACAAUGCCUCUUGAUGGAUACACAACAACACAAUCGUGGUCACAUAAUCCGUAUCAGUCUGGCAGGCCCGAUCGGCCAGUUAGACGGUUCUCCAUGGGAAACACAUUCUUUAUCAGGAGAAGGCCUGGAGAGAACGGAGUUAGAACAAGGAGAGGAAGGUAAAUGAUAUAAAUAUGUGACGGCAGGAUAGGACAGCUGACAGGUGCAUGCCCGCCCUAGGCUUGGCCUAUCCAAUGAUACAGGUGAAUUUACGAUUUGUCUAAAAAGGCAUAUUUUCCCCCUGACUUUAUUUCUAGUGACACAGGUAACUCAAUUGUGAGACCCUCUUCUCUGUACUUCAUCUUCUGACCGACUUCUCUCUGAUGGACGUAUUCCUUCUCUUGAUCUUUCACUACUUCUAUUGGAUUAUUUAGUUUUGCAAUUCAGGAAGCCAAUAUUUUCCUUUAUGGCAACUUCGCAGAUCUCUGAUCUGAUCUACUGUAUGUUGACUUCACAGUUUAGCUCCCAGAAAGCAAUUUCCUCCCUAGGUUCUCCCAGGACACUUCAGCACAGUCAUAAAAUAUUGACAGAGAACGUCUGUAGUAGACCAUACCUCAUUCACAAUCUUAAAAUUGACUAAUAAAUAUUCAUUGUAAAAUGUCUUCUGAAGUUUGUUUGAUUAGCUUUUCCCUCAGUUGCACCUUAGGUUUGGUAAUUGUUCUUAAUAGUAUUUUAGGAAGAAAAAUUCUUCAGCUAAUGUCCCAAUAUUGAUAUUGGCUUUCCCUUGGAGACGUGGGAUAAGUGUAUUCUUUUCUUAACCUAUGAAUUUUUAAAACUUCCGAAUGUUGACAUCCUUGAACUUCAUUUUCUUCAUCCAGGGAUACAUUUACCAAGAGAUAUCACGCACCAGCAUUCUAAAUAUUACAUGACAUAGGCAUGGGAAAAAGUAGAGUGGAAAGAAUAAUCGUGGUUAAGGCAAGUGUUUCUAGAUGUUCGCUUGAAAUUUCUAUAAUUUUGGGAAAAGAACUUUCAAAACAAUUUUCUGUUUGAAUAUACUCCAUGGAGAUAUGUAGCCACAGCUGCUUCUUGGGAGGGUUGGUAGAAAUUUAGAUGUGUAAGCUGGGAUGCUUCACACAUGUGUAAAGCCCUUGAAAAGACAAGAGGAAUCCAAGGUGAAGAGAAGGGGAUGAGGGGCCGAGGACCAAUCCUCCUCACACUGUCAUAUCCUAGAAUCGAAACCUGAGAAUCUAGAAAUCCUAAGCUUAAAGUUAGCUUAUUUUUUUAUGAAAGUAUAUUUUUAUGAAAGUAUCUCAGUCAAGGUAUGAAAAAAUUUUGUUUUAUCUAAUAAUUUGCUAAUUUGAUGUAUAGUUUUAAAUAGUCCUGCAUAUAGUAUACAUUCUUGCCCCAGGCCCGCGAAUGUUAGCAGCAAGCUUGCUUAGUCUUACUCUGGCCAUAUGUAGAAAAUAUGUAUAUAUAGCUCCACUGAAGGAAGUGUGUCCUCAUCUGCUUAAUUCAUGGGGGAUAUAAUUAACCCAGUGUUAUAGGCGUAAGAACCCAAAACAGAGCCGAAAGAAACUUGUACAGAUAUAAGAUAUGCCUUUCAUCUGCUUCGAAGAGUGGCGAGGUGGGAAAAAUCCAGACUCGGUGCAUAGGUCCUGAAAAUAGUAUUUCUGCAUAUAAAGGGAAAACAAAUAUGAACAAGGGAAACGUUGUGCAAACAGUCAGAUUCAAGAUAAGCUCAAAAAACAUUCUGUUUGAAAUGCAUAUCCUCGUAUGCCUUUGCUUUUCCUGUCCUGUUCACAACUUUGUAGUGUUUGGGGUUUUUUUUUGUUUGUUUCAUUCAUUAAAUAAACUGAGCAUCUUCUCACAGCCUCCUGUGCAUUCAACACUUCAUAUUCUGGGUCAUUUUUACCUUCGUGAACAAUAGCAUAACACCAGUCACACUAUAAUGAAACAUGACUCGUGUGUGUGUGUGUGUGUGUGUGUGUGUGUGUGUGUGUUCAGUACCCGUCUACACCAUCUGGAUUAUUUUUCUCUAAAAACCAGGAUGCAAUUCUGUGCCAUAUGCCGUUAAUCCCUACGGAUUUAGAAUGUGGCUGAAGCAGUUGGAUAGAGUGAAAGUGAGGACUGAAAGCCCUUCCUAUGAAAAACCCCAGGUCCAGUUUCAUAUAUUUUACUUACUUUCAGGGUUUGGGGUCUGAAUGACCAAGAUAAUUGCUUCCCUCACUGUUACAUCUGUUUUAACAGUUUAGAGCUUAGGCACCAUUUUAUCUUUCACAUUUUAGCUCAUCUCUUCUUUUUCUUUUUCUUUUUCCUUUUUCUUUUUCUUUUUGUUUUUUUUUUCUUUUCUCUUUUGUAUGAACAGGUUGUGCCUUCCUUCCUCUGCUUCAUACCUUAGUUGUUUGUCUCGUUGGCUCUGUCUCCUUUCUUGUUAUUUACUAGGUAUGGCCAGGACUGAUCCGCCUGUCGUUCUAAUAUCUGAACAUUUGAAAGCAAGCUGUUUUCCAGAAAGAUCCCCAUGCAUGAGUAACAGGUAUUCUGACGGUGAAAUUAGCCGCCUCGUAUUCUUCAUUCCUUUAUUCUUCCAAAUGAGAAAACUAAUCUUGUUAUGUAAGAAGUCAUUACUUCAUCUACUCAUCAGCUGUUUCUGACAUGCUCCAGUUGGCUCUCAGUUUGGAAAUAAAAUUGCACAAGGAUGAAAAUGAAGCCUGUUUCAGAACAUUUUCAAGGAAGAUUUGUUCCUCUAAUAGGCUCUUUGCCGAAAGAUAUGGUUUUUAAUUUGUGAGAAAAUAAAACCGCAGUUCAAACGAGUGAAGCAUAAAAAGUCAGGGGUCAGAAGACUUCCUUAUUUCCAUAGCAAGAAAGUUCUAGCUCUGUAUGAAGUGACACCUCAAACACAAUUUUUGCUGCAAUUUACCUCUAACAGUUCAGACAAUUCAUCCGGAAACAGCUUAAAAUUAAGUCAGGUUUUGAUAUGUCAGUUUUUCAUGCAUGUUAAUCUCAGCAUCCGAUUUUUUUUGUCCACGUAAGAGAGAAGCACAUUAAUUUCUGCGUCGCCAUCUCUAUUUUCUUUCAAUUAUUGGACUCUGCUUUACAGUUUCUGGCAAAUGAAAUAUUUCCUAGUUAAUACACAGGGUAAUAAAGAAUGUUUGCAUGAUGUUCUCCACAGCAGCCCUGGUGGCAAGAGACUUUGUAAAUAUUGGAACUCAGAGUCAAUCCGAAGGAGACGGUGAAAUAAACAAGGCUCAGAAAAACACAAGAGAGAGAAAGAAAAAAAAUAAAGAAAAACACACGAGUUUGAAAUCAAGUUUCCUCCUCCUCCUCUUCUCCUUUCCUCCUCCUCCUCCUCCUCCUCCUCCUCCUCCUCCUCCUCCUCCUUCUUCUUCUUCUUCUUCUCCUUUUCUUCUCCUUCUGCUUCUCCUUUUCUUCUUCUUCUCAUUCUCAUUCUCUUCUUCUUCUUCUUCUUCUUCUUCUUCUUCUUCUUCUUCUUCUUCUUCUUCUUCUUCUUCUUCUUCUUCUUCUUCUUCUUCUUCUUCUUCUUCUUCUUCAAGUGCUUACAGAAAGUAGGAAUAAAAAAUGCAUAGUCUCUGGAGAUAAAUUUUCUGUAUGUACAUAUCAAUAUUACAACUGCCUAGCUGUUUAACUGUGUGAUCUUGAGCAAGUUACCCAACAUAUCUAUGCCUUGAUAACCCCAUCUGGUGAUGGGGGGUGAUGAGGGGGAGGGUAAAAAUAAUACAGAGUUGUGUAGAUUUAGUGAAUUAAUAGAAGGAGUUGUCAUUUACUAAGCACUUGCUUUGCAUCAGACACUAUUCUAAGCAAUUCAUAAGGCCCCAAACUGGGUGUGUUAAGAUUGUGUGUGUUGUUAAGAUACUAAUUUACAAAGCACAUUGGGAAUUUAUAAACUCCUCCAGGGAUCAUUCUUUUUGUAAUGUAAUACCACUAUUUCAUGUCAAGUACAUAUUAAAUAUUUUAAGUAAUAUUUAGCUGACCUAUGUAUAGAUCCCAAACCUUGUGUUCAUUUUCAACUUGGAACACAUAAUAAUUAGAUUUAUUGGUUAUAAUCAGCACUUUGUACAAAGCAUCAGCAUAAAAUAAACCACAUAGGUGCUAAAUUUGUUGGUAACAAUGGCAACCAUGUUGUAACUGAAUUAAAGGAUCUUUCCUAACACGUACUAAAUACUUUGUUGUGAGUCCAGCAAAGAUAUUUGAACCAGGGAGAGGUUUUUGCCCAACUGAGAAUUGCACGACCACUUUGUUUAAAAUACACUCUUUGGCAAUCUGCAUGAUUUGGCUCUACUACAUGCAUCUUCUCCUGAUUUAUGGCAAUUUUCACUCCGUACAUGUAGGGCAUCUGUAAAAUGCACAGAUAUUAUUGCACAUGGUAAGUACUCAAUAAAAAUAAUUUUAGAUGAGUUUACACUAAGAACACAAAACUAUGAACUCUUCUGUACGAGCAAAGUCCAUGAGAGUCAGGUUCCUGAAUAAUCAGUGUCAUCCAGAGAACUACUUUUAAGCUUUAUCAAGUAAUGGACGCACUACACUCAGCUAGAGAAAGUGGUUCCAGCUUUUAUUGAGUCAAAUCUUAACUACCCACAAGUUACUUCGGUAAAUCCAUUAAUCCUCAGUGAGCUCUGAGAUUUACUUCAUUACUGACUGUCAGUAAAGACCAGGUUUGUCUAUCAUUCCCAGGCAGCUAAGGAGAAGAAUAUAGAGAAAAAGAGAACUGGGUUCUGGUCCCUGUUCUAUAACCACUUAGAAAAUAUAUUAUGAAGUCUCUCAUCCUCCCAUGGCGGUUUGCUUUGUUUUGUUUUGUUUUGUUCUACAUUUUGGCACUAAGACAUCUCUUUUAAGAUCUUACUAAAUUUUGGGGUCAUGAGCAGGGACAUAAAAAACAGAGUGUUCCUUUUGGAACAUGGUAUCAGAGAAGUAAAUAUUAGGGGCUUGUCCAAAUUAAUGGGUUUCAAUAGUUCUAAGGAUAAAUUCACUACUUUUUAAGAUAGCAAACAGUAUUGCCAUGCUUUUCUUCUAAAAUCUGUUCUAUUGGGGCACCUGGGUGGCUCAGUCAGUUAAACAUCUGCCUCCAGCCCAGUCGUGACCCCAGGGUCCUGGAAUUGAACCCCGCACCAGGAUCCCCGCUUAGCAGGGAGUCAGCUUUUCCCUCCCUCUCUGCUCCCCCUUCACUCAUGCACAUGCUCUCUCUCUCUCAUAAAUAAAAUCUUAAAAAAUAAAAUCUGUUCUAUUUAAAAUGUGGAGAUAUCAAAAAAAGAAUGAUCCUUCACAAGUCCAUUGUAUGUAUGGCAAAGCUGGAAGUUUCUUAGGCAGUAUUCUGAAAAUUUUGAGGAUCAAAAAAGAAAAAAAA